UACGUAGGGCGCAAGCGUUGUCCGGAAUUAUUGGGCGUAAAGAGCUCGUAGGCGGCUUGUCACGUCGGGUGUGAAAGCCCGGGGCUUAACCCCGGGUCUGCAUUCGAUACGGGUUAGCUAGAGUGUGGUAGGGGAGAUCGGAAUUCCUGGUGUAGCGGUGAAAUGCGCAGAUAUCAGGAGGAACACCGGUGGCGAAGGCGGAUCUCUGGGCCAUUACUGACGCUGAGGAGCGAAAUCGUGGGGAGCGAACAGG
RNAcentral lists this ribosomal RNA (253 nucleotides) under uncultured bacterium. RNAcentral describes it as "partial 16S ribosomal RNA". It matches the Rfam family "Bacterial small subunit ribosomal RNA", at positions 524 to 776 of the family's 1533-position model. The record is from RNAcentral.